GUGAGAUCAUGACCUGAGCUGAAGUCGGACGCUCAACCGACUGAGCCACCCAGGCGCCCCUGUUCUUGAUUUUUUAAUAUAAGUGUUGAAGAUUUGUCUCCCAAAUGACUCCAAACACCGUAAAACUUCCAUUCUGUUUUUGCGCCGUAAUUGAGUAGAUAUCUUCCUAAGAUUUUGGGAUCUCUCAACAAUUGGAGAAAAUUAGGAAGGCUGCUUUUCAAGGCCUGGGCAUCGUAGGUUUGAAAAGAAAUGUUUUGGCCCCACCGCUGCACUCACGGAAGCCAAGUGCGUCAGCACCUCACCUGUAGCUGCCGCCCUGUCUUGUGUGCAGAUCAGACCUCUUUAAUUGUAUGCUUGGGGUAAAAAUGGUCUUUUCUGAUUGCUAUUCUUGGAGGUUUGUGGAAGAUAACCAGCAUUUAGUAAGUUCUGAACAUGUGCCAGGCACUGGAGAAAAAAUUAGCGUUGCUUAGGAACCGAAGAAUUCAACUGGUUUUUGAGAGAAAACAGAAUUCCAUUCCAGCCGAUCUGUGUUCUGGGACCUUCGAAUGAAUGCAGCAGACAUGGUCAUUCUGGAAGAUACCCACACCAGGUCUCUCACAGGAGCCACACUCAAGCAGAGCAGAAAUAAAAAAGCAGCAUGACCCCUUGGAGCCUUACAGUUGUGUGACUGAGAGAGCAGAGGUGAGAGGUGUGAUCCUUGAUCGCGAUGCGCUGAACUCCUGAGACUCUGCUCUUCGGGUCACCUACAUAAUCCUGAAUGUGGUCAAUACUCAAUUACUUUCUGUGCUGUUGGCAGAAGGAAUAAAUGCCAGGAAGAAUAAAUGAAUUCCAAUGCAAUUAAAUCCUUAUGCUAACUUAAAAAAAAGAGAGAGAUCCUCAUGCCAUUUUAUUUGCUUACUAGUGCUGUCAGUAACUUGAUGAAUCUUUAAAAUUCAGAUUUUAAUAAAGAUGAUAUAUUUCUCUAGUCAAACCAUGGGUUUAUGGAAGAAAAGAGAUCCUUGUGUAGCUGAUUGUAUAUAAGGGAAAAAGCUUCAUCUUACUCUCUCCCUAAUCACUGGUACAGUCAAUUUUAUGUUUAUAUUUUAUGUACACGUGGUUAUAACAUGGGAUACAUAAGUCAUGUGAUGAAGAGCCCUUGGAUAAUGAGAGGCAUAAAGCCAUGAAAAUGCCUCAGUCAUUCAUUUGAGUAAAAGACGGGCACUUUCCAGUCUUCUCGGAGGAGAUCUAUUAACUCAGAAGUGCCCUUCACAUCGAUGAACCCAUGCCCGCUGUGCAGACGUGAUUUCUUCCUAUUCACACCGGGAGAAAGAGCAUCUAGAAAAUUAACAACAGUUGUGAAGAAGUAAACUUUGUUCACCACAGGGAAUCAAUUUUAACUACAUAAAUUUGCAAAACAAGCAACAGAAGCAAAAAUCAACGAGUGGGACCACAUCAAACUAAAAAGCUUCUGUAGAGGAAAGGAAACCAUCAGCACAAUGAUGAAGCAAGCUGCAGAGUAGGAGGGGGUAUGUGCAAGCCACAUAUCUGAUAAGGGGCUAAUAUCCACCAUAUGUAAAGAGUUUCUAUAACUCAAUGGCCAAAAAAAAUCAACAGUUGAAAUGAAAAAUGAGCAGAGGACCUAAACAGACAUUUUUUCCAAAGAAAACGUCCAGUUGGACAACAGACACAUGAAAAGAUGCUCAGCAUCACUGAUCA
This is a long non-coding RNA of Felis catus (domestic cat), 1695 nucleotides long. RefSeq lists it as uncharacterized. Lineage: Eukaryota; Metazoa; Chordata; Mammalia; Carnivora; Felidae. The transcript has 3 exons. The record is from RefSeq and is a predicted model, not a curated record.